CAGCCAUGCCGCGUGCAGUGAUGACGGUCYUAUGGAUUGUAAACUGYUUUUGUACAGGAAGAAAAUGUUACUACGUGUAGUAAUUUGACGGKGACUGUASAAUAAAGAACGCGCUCAGACUCCAUUCCAUGACCCCCGCCGCGGUAAU
Molecule: ribosomal RNA, 148 nt
Filed under: uncultured bacterium
Lineage: Bacteria
Description: partial 16S ribosomal RNA
Source: RNAcentral